Scatophagus argus is the source of this 304-nucleotide long non-coding RNA. RefSeq lists it as uncharacterized. The record is from RefSeq and is a predicted model, not a curated record. Lineage: Eukaryota; Metazoa; Chordata; Actinopteri; Scatophagidae. The transcript has 3 exons.
AGCUCACCUGCAACAACAAGGGUUCAAACCCACAACGCAGAGAAGCUACCUGACAGAUGUUGUGGCCUUUCUGAAAUACGUCCUUAACAUGGCACCACAACAAGUGCGACUCUCAACCAGGAGCAUCAAUGCCCUCUUGGUUGAAAUAAGGGCGCGUAUCAGAGAUGUUAGCCGUGAGAUUGUUGGCCACCGACUGAAUGUGCGCAGAUCUAAGUCUGAUCGACUCAAACAAACAUGCUGCUUUCAUAGAGAGGGCACCAAAAAAGAUCAGUGCUGCACUCGACAGCAAGGAGGCACUGAGGGU